CUCUCGAGAAGCUGAGGAUUUUACUAUAUCUUCUCCAGUUUUUUUCUUAUAUCUCCUUGCACCUAUGAAGGAAGGAAGCAUUCCUUUCCUAAGUGGAAAUAGUAUGUUGGACUUCCUAUAUUAAUUACUAAUUAUUAUUAGCUGAUAUUAAUUAUUAAUUAAAAUAUAUUAUCUAUUUAGAAAUACUCUGGACCUAUCUCAUCCUCAGACUGUGAAAAGUUCAAUGACCAAAGGUCUUCUGCUCUCUGAAAGAACAUGAAUUGUCCAAGAAAACCCAACAAGAGUCGGGAUGGUAUAAACAUUAAAGAACUAAGUCACAGCUAGAAACUAAUAGUCAUAGAGAUGCCAUAAAUGGAAAACAAGGAAGAAAUGAUGACUUAAACAUUCAAGAGUGGAGCUUAAGAGCAAUGAACUGGAAUAAGGUCAAAAUACUAAAGAGAUAUAAAUUCUGUCAAAGAAAAUUCAAAAGGAGUCUCUCAAGAGCCAGUAAGAGUUAACUCCAACAUGACCCUGAUGCUGCCCUAAAAACCAAGUCAACUCCAAACAAGCAGAGUAUCCUCAACUUUGUAAUGGACCCAAACUUCCAAGUCAAACCAGCGUUGGAAGAGUGACGGCUUGGAAACAAGUUGGA
RNAcentral lists this long non-coding RNA (631 nucleotides) under Monodelphis domestica (gray short-tailed opossum). RNAcentral's name for it is "lncRNA (ENSMODG00000030132.2)". The record is from RNAcentral. Lineage: Eukaryota; Metazoa; Chordata; Mammalia; Didelphimorphia; Didelphidae.